CGGCGGGAAUCGACUCUUCUUGAGGAAAAUGCUGACUGAAUCUGCAGGAGGUUGGAUCUGUGCUCUUCACUUUUCGACGACAGUCAUCACUGGUCUCAAAACCAAUUGUUUUGUUUGAGAAGACCUCACUACAUCACCAAGCACGAGUGGACCAGCAAGGGUGUUCGUGACCAAGGGAUCAUGGGUCUUUAGUGUUCUACUAAAGAAAGAGGAGUCUGGUGAACCAGAUCUUGGAGAUGUUCCGGGGAUAGUUUGCUAGAUCUAGAUCCAAACUACAACAUAGCUGACAUCAGGGAUUCCCAUCUUUUGAAUGAGUGACACUUGUUUGCACAAUUACUGUCUGCUCUAUUUUUUUGGCAUUAUAUAUGCACCCAGCCUUAUCACUAACAGCAGUUAUUAAAUGUAAACCUGUAAAAAAAAAUAAUUUUGUAAAAUGUUUGCAUUUUGUCAUUUUACUGUUGCUGCGGUCUUGUUCUUUUCAGUUUGAAGCCAGAUAUCCUUGUACACAUUGCCUUUACAUGUUUUCCUUGAUAUAACACAUUUACUUGACUCUUGUUAGUGAUGAGGCUGGGCAAUUUAGGGCAAAAAAGGCUUUUGUUUUAAAAGGUUAAACAGACUUAUUUCAUUUCUCGAGAUGUACCAAAGUACAUCUGCAUUUGAUGUUUUGUUAAUGAAAUGCUUUUACAUUUUGAGGUUGUUUUGUGGUGUUGUGGAAAAUGUUUCAACUCUACAGUGUGUAGAAAUUAAUUUUCCACAAUUAACAACAUAUUGUAUUUUAAAUAUUCAUUUUCACUAUGUUAAAUGGAAGCGGUUAAGAAAAUUCUGUUCAA
This is a long non-coding RNA of Labeo rohita (rohu), 830 nucleotides long. RefSeq lists it as uncharacterized. The record is from RefSeq and is a predicted model, not a curated record. Lineage: Eukaryota; Metazoa; Chordata; Actinopteri; Cypriniformes; Cyprinidae. The transcript has 3 exons.